Long non-coding RNA from Cynocephalus volans (Philippine flying lemur), 478 nucleotides. RefSeq lists it as uncharacterized. The transcript has 3 exons. The record is from RefSeq and is a predicted model, not a curated record. NCBI's taxonomy places the organism in Eukaryota, Metazoa, Chordata, Mammalia, Dermoptera, Cynocephalidae.
ACUUGUUUAUUAAAAACAAACAAAAAAAGCCUUCUGGGGUCCACUCCAGACUUACUAAAUCACACUCUGUGGGGUUUGGCACUUUCAUCGUACUCUGUCGGCUAAAGCAAGUUAAAGGGUCAGCCCAGAUUCAAGGGAAAGGGACUAUGCCAGGGUUCUAGUUAUUUUAUAGUAUUUAGAGCUUGCUUCUGAGAAGGUGAAAGAGGAAAUGGCCUUGAAGUUCCUGCGCUAGUUCCCAAAAGACCAGACUAAAAAUCAAAAUGGAGUCACAGCAUAUAAAGAGUUCCCUGUCACUUGGGCUGUGGUCUGACCUUCCUAGAAAUCAGGAGAAAGAAGACAGCCAGUUUCUGGAACAAGCCGGUUUAAAUCAUCAAUAGAUCCCACUUUACAAGGAAAGUAACUUUGAAAUGACCAAUCCGCUUUUUGUUCUUUGUUUCUGUCUAAAAGCAACCUCCUCUGCUUGGCUCUUUGGAACACU